CUGAGGAACUUUCUUCAGCUUCAGAAGACACUGGAACUGCCAACUGUUCUGCUUCUUCUGACACCUUUCCUGUUUCGGAUGCCUCCUUUUCGACCUUCUUCUCAACAACUUCUUCAAGACCCUUCCUGUUCUCAUUCGAUCCAACUGCCACAUCAUCACUUUCAAUUGAAGCAUGAACAGUUGUUACGGAGCCUUGAAGAUCCUGAGUUGCUUCAUGGCCAAGGAAAGGUUCUUCAUCAACUGUUUCAGUUGUUUCCUUCUUGAUGUCCUCUGCCUCUUCAUUCGUUUCUUCUGAAUCCUCGAAUUUGUCCUGUGGGGUCUCGACAAUUUCUCCUUGUUCAACAAUUGCUUCAGUCUCUAGUUCCUCGUCCUUAGUCGACUCAUUGAUUUCCUCUACUGGUGAUGGAGUUGGUCCAACACUUUCCAGGCCUUCCCUUUCUGCAUCAGGUGAAAUCUGUAGCUUUGCAUCAGGACUUGGAUCAUCAGAUUGAAGAGUUCCUGCUUCUUUCAAAGGCUCUUGUACUUGGAUAUGAUCAGCAGCAUCAUUUCCUGGGAUCUCUUCUUUCUCUACCCGACU
This 577-nucleotide long non-coding RNA is filed under the name Linum usitatissimum (flax). RNAcentral describes it as "long non-coding RNA (LUSI_LNC001873)". Lineage: Eukaryota; Viridiplantae; Streptophyta; Magnoliopsida; Malpighiales; Linaceae. The record is from RNAcentral.